RNAcentral lists this ribosomal RNA (307 nucleotides) under uncultured eukaryote. RNAcentral's name for it is "partial 18S ribosomal RNA". It matches the Rfam family "Eukaryotic small subunit ribosomal RNA", at positions 1470 to 1796 of the family's 1831-position model. The record is from RNAcentral.
CCCUUAGACGUUCUGGGCCGCACGCGCGCUACACUGACGAAGGCAACGAGCUUUCCUUUACCGAAAGGUACGGGUAAUCUUUUGAAACUUCGCCGUGCUGGGGAUAGAUCCUUGCAAUUUUUGAUCUUAAACGAGGAAUGCCUAGUAAGCGCAAGUCAUCAACUUGCGUUGAUUACGUCCCUGCCCUUUGUACACACCGCCCGUCGCUACUACCGAUUGAAUGGUUUAGUGAGGCCUUCGGAUCCGCGACUCGUUUGUGGAGAAGUUGGACAAACUCAGUCAUUUAGAGGAAGUAAAAGUCGUAACA